AGAGUUUGAUCCUGGCUCAGAGCGAACGCUGGCGGCAUGCUUAACACAUGCAAGUCGCACGGGCAGGGGCAACUCUGUCAGUGGCGGACGGGUGAGUAACGCGUAGGUAUCUAUCCUUGGGUGGGGGACAACUGUGGGAAACUACAGCUAAUACCGCAUGAUGACCGAGGUCUAAAGGCGCAAGUCGCCUGGGGAGGAGCCUGCGUACGAUUAGCUAGUUGGUGGGGUAAAGGCCUACCAAGGCGACGAUCGUUAGCUGGUCUGAGAGGAUGAUCAGCCACAUUGGGACUGAGACACGGCCCAAACUCCUACGGGAGGCAGCAGUGGGGAAUAUUGGACAAUGGGCGCAAGCCUGAUCCAGCAAUGCCGCGUGUGUGAAGAAGGUCUUCGGAUUGUAAAGCACUUUCGACGGGGACGAUGAUGACGGUACCCGUAGAAGAAGCCCCGGCUAACUUCGUGCCAGCAGCCGCGGUAAUACGAAGGGGGCUAGCGUUGCUCGGAAUGACUGGGCGUAAAGGGCGCGUAGGCGGAUGGCACAGUCAGAUGUGAAAUUCCCGGGCUUAACCUGGGGGCUGCAUUUGAUACGUGUUGUCUAGAGUGAGGAAGAGGGUCGUGGAAUUCCCAGUGUAGAGGUGAAAUUCGUAGAUAUUGGGAAGAACACCGGUGGCGAAGGCGGCGACCUGGUCCUUGACUGACGCUGAGGCGCGAAAGCGUGGGGAGCAAACAGGAUUAGAUACCCUGGUAGUCCACGCUGUAAACGAUGUGUGCUGGAUGUUGGGCGACCUAGUCGCUCAGUGUCGUAGCUAACGCGAUAGGCACACCGCCUGGGAGUACGGCCGCAAGGUUGAAACUUAAAGGAAUUGACGG
Molecule: ribosomal RNA, 867 nt
Filed under: uncultured Acetobacteraceae bacterium
Lineage: Bacteria; Pseudomonadati; Pseudomonadota; Alphaproteobacteria; Acetobacterales; Acetobacteraceae
Description: bacterial SSU rRNA
Rfam family: Bacterial small subunit ribosomal RNA
Source: RNAcentral